CACACACUCGCACACACAUACACACUCAGCUGCCGAUAGCCCCACGGGUUGCGAUAAGCAGCGUGGAGCCAUGCCUCAGUUAUAUGCCAAAGGGGCGCCCAUGAGUUCGGAUUGUAGGCCACAAGAUCUCCAUAGCUAUAUAGCGUAACCAGCGAUAGCUAGUGAAAUGAGAACAAUUGGAGCAUUUUUGAGAGAUAGAAGUGCAUUUUUGUAUUACAAUCGGAAUAAAGAAUGAUCUGUUCCGUUUAGUUUAACUAUUUCUUGUCAAAAAUAUUCGUGAUAUCAGAAUUAUUGCAGAUCCAAAUUAAAUAGUGAACAUUUUUUAUAUAGAUUUUCGCGAUGCUGGGUUAUCUUAAAAGAUCGUCAGAUUUCACUGUAUGGAAAAUAUUUGAAGAUUAUGUUGCAUUUGGAAAGACGGACAAAUACACUCAUUACGCCUUGCAAAUAAGAUGAAAAGUAUUUGAAGAAAAGGUUUCAGUAGUGAAAUUUUAAUUUCUGACAAUUGGUCGAUCGACUUUAUGGUAGAAAUUAUGAGUAUUUCAAUGAUCAUGGUAAAUUCACCCACAAGGGUGAAAAAUGAGUGGAUUUCGGAAGAUUAAAAUAGUAAUGGAUGUUCUCUUAAAGCAGCUCGUUUAGAUGCACAUCCUUACGGACAGCAUUGUUGAAGCCCUCCUUAUAGCGAUACCAUAUUGGGCUUUUGACAAUUGCAUCUGUUUUGACUGUUAAAUAAUUAUUUUAAAAUUA
This is a long non-coding RNA of Drosophila montana, 744 nucleotides long. RefSeq lists it as uncharacterized. NCBI's taxonomy places the organism in Eukaryota, Metazoa, Arthropoda, Insecta, Diptera, Drosophilidae. The record is from RefSeq and is a predicted model, not a curated record. The transcript is spliced from 2 exons.